CAGACACACAGCGCUGGAUGCAAUCGGCGUCAGAGACAGAGCCAGACGGGGGUGUUCAAGCCGCCAGCAAGACAGAGCGUGCCGGAAGAGCCCUCGGUGUCGCCGUCGGACCAACACCGACCGGCUGGACUGUCGUCUCAGCCUGCAGGUAUACAGAUACCAGAAAGAACAAGAAAUGGAUUUCGCUGCGAAUACUCGCCGCUCUAUUAAUCGCUCCGUCUCCUUGGUUACCUUUGACCCCUUACAGUUUGGAGGAGACACACACAUUUGCUGAAGCCACUUGUCCCAAGCGGGGUCGUGGACGGCCAGAGCCUGGCCCAGCGGUGCGGUGCAUUGGGGGGACACCCAGGGCAGGAUGCCAGUCCAUCACAAGGCACCUCAAGAUGGACUUGAGCCCAAGACCCACCAGCCACCAGGGAGCAGGCACAGGCGAAGCCCUCUGCACCACUGCACCUCCCCCCCCCCCCCCCCCGAAAGACAGUGUAUAGGUGAAGUCACCAGAACUCAUUAUAAGUAGCUAUUUUUCUUUCAUCAUGUUUCUGAGUGCCAUCAAGGAGAAAAGCGUAGAGAAGAGUUUUCAGGAGAGGCGACUGGUAAUGAACUUUUAGAGAGAAGGGAACUCGCACUAACUGAAAAGCAUAUUAUAAAAACAGGGGGAAACUGCUGCUGAUUGGG
Molecule: long non-coding RNA, 675 nt
Filed under: Scleropages formosus (Asian bonytongue)
Lineage: Eukaryota; Metazoa; Chordata; Actinopteri; Osteoglossiformes; Osteoglossidae
Description: lncRNA (ENSSFOG00015033107.1)
Source: RNAcentral